This 1382-nucleotide ribosomal RNA is filed under the name uncultured bacterium. RNAcentral's name for it is "bacterial SSU rRNA". It matches the Rfam family "Bacterial small subunit ribosomal RNA", at positions 27 to 1400 of the family's 1533-position model. The record is from RNAcentral.
GAUUGAACGCUGGCGGUAUGCUUAACACAUGCAAGUCGAACGGAAACGAUACUAGCUUGCUAGUAGGCGUCGAGUGGCGGACGGGUGAGUAACGCGUAGGAAUCUGCCUGAUAGUGGGGGAUAGCCCGAAGAAAUUCGGAUUAAUACCGCAUAAUCUAUUCGUAGUAAAGUGGGGGACUUUCGAGCCUCACGCUAUCAGAUGAGCCUGCGUAAGAUUAGCUUGUUGGUAGGGUAAAAGCCUACCAAGGCGACGAUCUUUAGCUGGUCUGAGAGGAUGAUCAGCCACAUCGGGACUGAGGCACGGCCCGAACUCCUACGGGAGGCAGCAGUGGGGAAUAUUGGACAAUGGGGGCAACCCUGAUCCAGCAAUACCGCGUGUGUGAAGAAGGCCUGAGGGUUGUAAAGCACUUUCAAUUGUGAAGAAAAGUUAGCGGUUAAUAACCGUUAGCCUUGACGUUAACUUUAGAAGAAGCACCGGCUAACUCCGUGCCAGCAGCCGCGGUAAUACGGAGGGUGCAAGCGUUAAUCGGAAUUACUGGGCGUAAAGCGUGCGUAGGCGGUUUAUUAAGUCAGAUGUGAAAGCCCCGGGCUUAACCUGGGAACUGCAUUUGAAACUGGUCAACUAGAGUAUGGUAGAGGAAAGUGGAAUUUCUGGUGUAGCGGUGAAAUGCGUAGAUAUCAGAAGGAACAUCAAUGGCGAAGGCAGCUUUCUGGACCAAUACUGACGCUGAGGUACGAAAGCGUGGGUAGCAAACAGGAUUAGAUACCCUGGUAGUCCACGCCGUAAACGAUGAUAACUAGCCGUUGGGGGGAUUUACCCUUUAGUGGCGAAGCUAACGCGUUAAGUUAUCCGCCUGGGGAGUACGGCCGCAAGGUUAAAACUCAAAGGAAUUGACGGGGACCCGCACAAGCGGUGGAGCAUGUGGUUUAAUUCGAUGCAACGCGAAGAACCUUACCUGGUCUUGACAUCCUGCGAACUUUCUAGAAAUAGAUUGGUGCCUUCGGGAACGCAGUGACAGGUGCUGCAUGGCUGUCGUCAGCUCGUGUCGUGAGAUGUUGGGUUAAGUCCCGUAACGAGCGCAACCCCUAUCCUUAUUUGCCAGCACAUCAUGGUGGGAACUAUAAGGAGACUGCCGGUGAUAAACCGGAGGAAGGCGGGGACGACGUCAAGUCAUCAUGGCCCUUACGACCAGGGCUACACACGUGCUACAAUGGGAAGGACAAAGAGCCGCGAAGCCGCGAGGUGUAGCUAAUCUCAUAAACCUUUUCGUAGUCCGGAUUGGAGUCUGCAACUCGACUCCAUGAAGUCGGAAUCGCUAGUAAUCGUAGAUCAGAAUGCUACGGUGAAUACGUUCCCGGGUCUUGUACACACCGCCCGUCAA